GUGUCUCUGAAUAAACAAAUCAGUCUUUGCAGAGGGGUCGUGGGGCUCUGUAUCCCCUCCCUCUAGUAUUAUUUGAAGAGCGUGCUAGAGUAGAGUAAUAAUUUUCUCUCUCGAUUAACUGCCGUUGUUGGUCUUCGUCUCAUCUCAUCUCCACUGAGCGCUCCCUUCCUCCCAUCUCAUUCCUCGCCUCCAUUGCGCUCCCUGGAAUAAGAUCCAUCUGCCCUUGUUGCUGAUCUUAUCCCGCCUCCCCUGGCCUCGCCCCUGCCAACUGACUGCUUCAUUGGUGACAUUUUUGGUCCAGGGUGGCAAGAACCAUGGAGCUUCCGGUCAUUAUUCAGAGCAGCAUGCAUGAAAUCCAGUGACCCUGCUAGCGGCCUGAUCGAGUGAAGCGACCCCCACGAAUCUGGUGCUCACCCGCCACUUCCGCUUCCAAUCCGACGAGGACGUUGCCGUUGUGUUCUUUGCGGUGAAGCACCAAAGAUCGAGUGAACCAGCGCGCCAUCUUGUCCCCUCCAUCGCUGACGGAUCUUGCUUGAGAGUCUGAUUUGUGUUGCUUGAUUCAAGAGGAGCAGUGGAACAGCAAGCAAGAACCAUACAGUUUCCAGUCAUUCAGAGCAUGAUGCCUCAAAUCCAUUGACCCGGCUAGCGGCCUGCUAAAUUUAUCUCCUCUUUCUUACUAUUCUGCUUUACUGAAAUGUUUCACAUCCACACAUUAUCUGCUUUUUUUCUUUUCGAAAAGGAGGAUUUCCCCCUGCCUCUGCAUCAAAAAUCCAGACCUUAUCUGCUGAUUUGCUAAGUUUUCAGUUUGCAACUCAGUUCUAGAGCUCGAUUACAGCUCCUCAAAUUCAUCGAUUUGCAGGUUUCUAGCUGAUUGGUGGUAAAGAAAGCUGCUCAUGGAGGUCGUCAUGGGUGCCAUGGGCAGCCUGCUCCCCAAGCUGGGCCAGCUGCUCAUGGAUGAGUACAACCUGCACAAGCGCGUCAGGAAAGAUGUUGAGUUCCUCAGGAAGGAGCUUGAGAGCAUGCACGCUGCCCUCAUCAAGGUUGGCGACGUGCCGCCGGACCAGCUCGACAGGCAGGUCAAGCUCUGGGCCGACGAGGUCAGAGAGCUCUCCUACAACAUGGAGGAUGUCGUCGACAAGUUUCUCGUACGCGUCGAAGGUAAUCAGCAGCCUCACGACAACACCGGCAGAUUCAAGGAGCUCAAAAACAAGAUGGUCAGCUUGUUCAAGAAAGGCAAAAAUCACCAUCGGAUAGCUGACGCCGUCAAGGAAAUCAAGGAGCAACUCCAGGAGGUGGCUGCUAGGCGUGGCAGGAACAAGCUCGAUGGUAUUGCUUUUAAUCCCAACGAAGCAAUUGCUAUCGAUCCUCGUCUUCGGGCUUUGUACACAGAAGCGACAGAGCUCAUUGGCAUCUAUGGGAAGAGGGAUCAGGACCUCUUGAGUUUGCUCUCUAUUGAGGGCGACGAUGCAUCUAACAAGAAACUGAAGAAGAUCUCCAUUGUUGGAUUUGGAGGGUUGGGAAAGACCACACUUGCUAGAGCAGUAUAUGAGAAGAUUAAAGGUGAUUUUGAUUGUCGGGCAUUUGUUCCCGUCGGUCAGAAUCCUGAUGUCAGGAAGGUUUUUAGGGAUAUCCUUAUUGAUCUCGGAAAAUCCCACUCAGAUGUUGUCAUGUUGGAUGAAAGGCAGCUUAUCAACAAGCUUCAUGAAUUCCUCGAGAACAAGAGGUAUCUGGUCAUAAUUGAUGAUAUAUGGGAUGAAAAAUUGUGGGAAGGCAUCAACUUGGCUUUCUCUAAUAGGAAUAAUCUAGGCAGUCGGCUAAUCACCACAACCCGCAUAGUCAGUGUAUCCAAUUCAUGUUGCUCGUCAGCUAAUGAUUUAGUUUAUCAAAUGAAACCUCUUUCUACGGAUGAUUCCAGAAGGCUCUUUCAUAAGAGAAUAUUUCCCGACAAGAGUGGAAGUCCAAAUGAAUUUGAACAAGUGUCUAAAGAUAUAUUGAAAAAAUGUGGUGGGGUACCACUAGCCAUCAUUACUAUUGCUAGUGCUUUGGCUAGUGGCCACCAGGUGAAACCAAAGCGUGAGUGGGACAUUCUGCUCCAGUCCCUUGGCUCUGGACUAACAGAAGAUAACAGUUUAGAGGAGAUGCGGAGAAUACUCUCAUUCAGCUAUUAUAAUCUACCCUCUCAUCUGAAAACUUGUCUAUUAUACCUAUGUGUAUAUCCAGAAGAUAGCAAGAUUGAUAGAGAUACACUGAUACGGAAGUGGGUGGCUGAAGGAUUUGUCCGUUGUGGGAACCAAGGGACUAGCCUGUUUUUGGUCGGAUUAAACUACUUCAACCAGCUCAUUGAUAGAAGUAUGAUCCAGCCAAUAUAUGAUCUUCUAGGCCAGGUACAUGCUUGCUGUGUACAUGAUAUUGUUCUUUAUUUUAUCUGCAACUUGUCACAUGAAGCGAAGUUUGUUAAUGUAUUGGAUGGUACUGGGAUGUCUUUUCAAGGCAAUGUUCGUCGUUUGUCCCUUCAAGAUAGAAAUAAAGAUCAUCAAGGCACACCUAUCAGAAAUUUCACGGGUAUAUCACGAGUGAGGUCCAUUACUGUCUUUACAUCUGCUAUUAAUAUCAUGCCAGCCCUGUCCAGGUUUGAAGUUCUGCGUGUACUUGAAUUGUCGGGCUGUAAUCUGGGAGAAAGUAGUAGCCUGCAACUUAACCUCAAGGGUGUUGGACACUUAAUUCACCUGAGGUAUCUUGGUCUAGCAGGUACUGGAAUAAGGGAACUCUCGCCCGAGAUAGGAAACCUACUGUUUUUGGAGGUGUUGGAUCUUGAAAGAAAUUAUGAGCUAGAUGAAUUGCCUUCCACUCUUUUUAAAUUGAGAAGAUUAAUCUACCUAAAUGUUUAUCUCAAUAAGGUGGUUCCAACUCCUGGUGUGUUGCAGAAUCUGACAUCCAUUGAAGUGUUGAGGGGGAUCCUGGUCUCUGUGAACAUUAUUGCACGAGAGCUUGGCAACCUUGCAAAGAUGAGGGAGCUUCUGAUUCACUUCAAGGAUGGUAGUUUGGAUUUGUAUGAAGGUUUCGUGAAGUCUCUGGGCAACCUACUUCACAUCGAAAGCCUAUAUAUUAAUUGCGAUUCCGGAGAAACAUCUUUUGAACUGAUGGAUCUCUUGGGAGAAUGCUGGAUGCCUCCUGUACAUCUCUGCAAAUUUGUGUCUUGGAUGCCCAGCCAACUCUCUGCACUGCGAGGGUGGACAAAGAGAGACCCCUCGCAUCUCUCGAACCUCUCCCAGUUAAUCCUCUUGUCAGUGAAGGAAGUGCAGCAGCAGGACGUGGAUAUCAUUGGGGGGUUGCUGUCCCUUCGCUUUCUUUGGAUACAGACCACCCACCAAACACAACGGCUGCUUGUGAUCGGUGCAGAUGGGUUUCGCUGUAUGUCAGAAUUUCGCUUGGAUUGUGGAUCAGGAGCGCAGAUAAUGUUUGAACCAGGGGCUUUACCGAGGGCAGAAUCAGUUGCGUUCAGUCUUGGCGUGCUGGUGGCGAAAGAGGAUGGUAACUGUCGUUUCGACUUGGGCCUGCAGGGGAACCUGCUCUCCCUUCGGCGGGAGGUCCGGGUUCAUAUGUAUUGUGGUAGAGCGAGGGUUUGGGAGGCCAGGGAAGCGGAGGCUGCAGUGACGCAUGCCCUCCACGCCCAUCCCAACCAUCCCCCGCUUUAUAUUGAUAUGCUCCCACAUAUAGCAGAAGGUGCUCAUGAUGACGAUUUGUGUGAGGACGAGGUGGAGAACUGAUUUCUGACGCAGAAGGAUUCACAUUGCAUCAGGUGUGCUCUCCGUAUAAGGGGCCUACUGAUUGUGAAGGUUUUACUCUGAGAAAUAAGCAGGAUUUGUGGAUAAGGGUAUUUUCUGUUCAUUAUACGCAUAUAGCUCUUGAAGCUCAAGUGAAACGACCCUGCUGAAAAUUUUGGUAGCACGGGCGUGGGAUUACUGCUGGUGGCAUUGGAUAAUUUGUGUGGUCUCACAAACAUUUUGGGUGGGCGCCGACCCUGCGAAGAAUUGAAGGAUGGAAAGGUUUUGACCUUGGCUGGAAGUUGUGUGAUGAGAUUGGCGAAAGAGAUAUUGCUUGGUAUUGUAAUGAACUAGUAAGGGUGUUGGGGUGAAUGGAUCCUUACAAGGAUAGCUUUACUAGCGUGUAGUGCGCGGCGGCACGCCGCGCCACAUGGAUUAAUACGCUAUCUGAUUUUUUUGAAUGUUCGUUAACUCGUCCCAAGAGUUGAUUCAUUGCAAAGUAGUUCAUACAAGAAAAGGGUAUGUCUAUUUGGUACAUGCAUAAAUGAUGUACAAUAGGUAAUGAUAGUGGCUAUUGGAUGCAGAAUGGCGAAGCUCUUGUUCUCAUGUUAGAUUUGAGAUAUUGAUCCUCAAGCUAUGUUUGUCUCUGUGAUGUAGUGGUAGAGAGAUGAGGCUAGUUCUUAUGCUAUUGUUCUUGAUGGUU
This is an RNA transcript of Triticum aestivum (bread wheat), 4467 nucleotides long. It is a transcript of the gene named disease resistance protein RGA5, with no coding region annotated. Lineage: Eukaryota; Viridiplantae; Streptophyta; Magnoliopsida; Poales; Poaceae. The record is from RefSeq and is a predicted model, not a curated record. The transcript is spliced from 8 exons.